RNAcentral lists this ribosomal RNA (662 nucleotides) under uncultured organism. RNAcentral describes it as "bacterial SSU rRNA". It matches the Rfam family "Bacterial small subunit ribosomal RNA", at positions 1 to 663 of the family's 1533-position model. The record is from RNAcentral.
GGCUUAGAGUUUGAUCAUGGCUCAGGAUGAACGCUGGCGGCGUGCUUAACACAUGCAAGUCGAACGAAGCUUGAUCCCGGAUCCCUUCGGGGUGACGGGUGAUAUGACUGAGUGGCGGACGGGUGAGUAACGCGUGGGCAACCUGCCUCAUACAGGGGGAUAACAGUUAGAAAUGACUGCUAAGACCGCAUAAGACCACAGCACCGCAUGGUGGAGUGGUAAAAGCUCCGGUGGUAUGAGAUGGGCCCGCGUCUGAUUAGCUGGUUGGUGAGGUAACGGCUCUACCAAGGCAACGAUCAGUAGCCGGCUUGAGAGAGUGAACGGCCACAUUGGGACUGAGACACGGCCCAAACUCCUACGGGAGGCAGCAGUGGGGAAUAUUGCACAAUGGGGGAAACCCUGAUGCAGCGACGCCGCGUGAGUGAAGAAGUAUUUCGGUAUGUAAAGCUCUAUCAGCAGGGAAGAAAAUGACGGUACCUGACUAAGAAGCCCCGGCUAACUACGUGCCAGCAGCCGCGGUAAUACGUAGGGGGCAAGCGUUAUCCGGAAUUACUGGGUGUAAAGGGUGCGUAGGUGGCAGGGCAAGUCAGAAGUGAAAACCCGGGGCUCAACUCCGGGACUGCCUUUGAAACUGUCCAGCUAGAGUGCAGGAGAGGUAAGCG